RNAcentral lists this ribosomal RNA (253 nucleotides) under uncultured bacterium. RNAcentral describes it as "partial 16S ribosomal RNA". It matches the Rfam family "Bacterial small subunit ribosomal RNA", at positions 524 to 776 of the family's 1533-position model. The record is from RNAcentral.
UACGUAGGGGGCUAGCGUUGUCCGGAAUCAUUGGGCGUAAAGCGCGUGUAGGCGGUCCGGUAAGUCCGCUGUGAAAGUCGAGGGCUCAACCCUCGAAUGCCGGUGGAUACUGUCGGGCUUGAGUACGGGAGAGGCGAGUGGAAUUCCUGGUGUAGCGGUGAAAUGCGCAGAUAUCAGGAGGAACACCGAUUGCGAAGACAGCUCGCUGGAACGUUACUGACGCUGAGACGCGAAAGCGUGGGGAGCAAACAGG